RNAcentral lists this ribosomal RNA (301 nucleotides) under uncultured bacterium. RNAcentral describes it as "partial 16S ribosomal RNA". It matches the Rfam family "Bacterial small subunit ribosomal RNA", at positions 509 to 807 of the family's 1533-position model. The record is from RNAcentral.
CAGUCGCCACGGUAAUACGUAGGUGGCAAGCGUUGUCCGGAAUUAUUGGGCGUAAAGCGCGCGCAGGUGGUUUAAUAAGUCUGAUGUGAAAGCCCACGGCUCAACCGUGGAGGGUCAUUGGAAACUGUUAAACUUGAGUGCAGGAGAGAAAAGUGGAAUUCCUAGUGUAGCGGCGAAAUGCGUAGAGAUUAGGAGGAACACCAGUGGCGAAGGCGGCUUUUUGGCCUGUAACUGACACUGAGGCGCGAAAGCGUGGGGAGCAAACAGGAUUAGAUACCCCGGUAGUCCCUGUCUCUUAUAC